AAGUCGUAACAAGGUCUCCGUUGGUGAACCAGCGGAGGGAUCAUUACCGAGUUGCAAAACUCCCACCAUUGUGAACCUACCUAGACUGUUGCUUCGGCGGGGGGCGCUGCCCUGUUUCCUCUAGAAACACCCGCCGGAGGCACCUAAACUCUGUAUUACUGGCCUCUCUGAGUAACUUAUUCAAUAAGUCACAACUUUCAACAACGGAUCUCUUGGCUCUGGCAUCGAUGAAGAACGCAGCGAAAUGCGAUACGUAAUGUGAAUUGCAGAAUCCAGUGAAUCAUCGAAUCUUUGAACGCACAUUGCGCCCGCUAGUAUUCUGGCGGGCAUGCCUGUCCGAGCGUCAUUUCAACUAUCAAGCCCUAGGCUUGCGUUGGGGAUCUGCGGCUGCCGCAGCCCCCUAAAUUCAGUGGCGGGCUCGUCGUCGUACCGAGUGUAGUAAAUAUCCUCGCUCAGGAAACGCGGUGGGUUCCGGCCGUUAAAUGCCUAAUUAUCUAAGGUUGACCUCGGAUCAGGUAGGAAUACCCGCUGAACUUAA
Molecule: ribosomal RNA, 538 nt
Filed under: uncultured Lasiosphaeriaceae
Lineage: Eukaryota; Fungi; Ascomycota; Sordariomycetes; Sordariales; Lasiosphaeriaceae
Description: eukaryotic LSU rRNA
Rfam family: 5.8S ribosomal RNA (bases 193-346)
Source: RNAcentral